GCAUAACGCGAAGAACCUUACCAAGGCUUGACAUCCCUCUGACCGAUUUAGAGAUAGAUCUUUCCCUUCGGGGACAGAGGUGACAGGUGGCGCAUGGUUGUCGUCAGCUCGUGUCGUGAGAUGUUGGGUUAAGUCCCGCAACGAGCGCAACCCUUAUCUUUAGUUGCCAGCAUUUAGUUGGGCACUCUAGAGAGACUGCCGGUGACAAACCGGAGGAAGGUGGGGAUGACGUCAAAUCAUCAUGCCCCUUAUGUCUUGGGCUACACACGUGCUACAAUGGUUGGUACAAAGGGCUGCAAGCCAGCGAUGGUUAGCCAAUCCCAUAAAGCCAAUCUCAGUUCGGAUUGUAGGCUGCAACUCGCCUACAUGAAGUCGGAAUCGCUAGUAAUCGCAGAUCAGCAUGCUGCGGUGAAUACGUUCCCGGGUCUUGUACACACCG
RNAcentral lists this ribosomal RNA (439 nucleotides) under uncultured bacterium. Its description in RNAcentral is "bacterial SSU rRNA". It matches the Rfam family "Bacterial small subunit ribosomal RNA", at positions 954 to 1392 of the family's 1533-position model. The record is from RNAcentral.